This is a long non-coding RNA of Triticum dicoccoides, 699 nucleotides long. RefSeq lists it as uncharacterized. The transcript has 3 exons. The record is from RefSeq and is a predicted model, not a curated record. NCBI's taxonomy places the organism in Eukaryota, Viridiplantae, Streptophyta, Magnoliopsida, Poales, Poaceae.
CUCACUCUCAGUCCAAAACCGCCGCCACUCCCCUCUUCCACCGGAGACCCAUUUUCCGGCGCGGCUGCUGCUUCCCGCAACAUCGAGCUCCCCGCCUCGCCGACCCACACCAGCGGCCUCGCUCGCGCUUGCCGCCUCGUCCAGUGCCGGAGGCUAUCAGCGCGCGAUGGACCCUGGUUCUUCCCCCGGUGCAUUCUGCCGUCCUAGCUUGCCGUCGCCCUAGCUCCUCCUAUGAACUGCCGCAGUUUCCGUUUUCCCACUCGUCCUGCGAAAGAGAUCUGAGGAGAUAUCCAUGUCUUUGCUAACUGAUGACCUGGUUGUGGAGAUUUUGUCUCGGCUACCGCUGAAGUCCUUUUGCCGCUUCAAAUGCGUCUGCAAGUACUGGCUUACCUUGUCAUCUAAUCCACACUACCGCAAGAAGUUCCCAAGAACUCCCGUUGGUAUCUUGUACCAAAUACCUCAGUAUGGCACUGGCAUCCAUCUCGCUAGGCUUCCCUCAUGCGACAAAGAAAUUGACACAACGCUUAGCUUUGUGCCAUGUUAUGAGUACCUAGAGCUUAAGGGUUGCAGCAAUGGCCUACUUCUUUGUUAUCAUGGUGGUAUCACAACAUAUUUCGCAGACAUAUCCCAUGUUAUUGUGUGCAAUCCAGCAACUCAAGAGUGGAUGUCACUUCCAAAUACUGAACCUGGACCGGCAGA